CAAAGAUGCAUCCUCAUUUAAUAGAGCUUGAAAUUACUAUAAUCUGUAAAGUACAGCGAGAAGAAGAAGUUUCACCUGCCUGCACAUCUGUCGUUGACUCUCCAUCUGACUUGGAGGGACUCUGAGGGACCAACCUGAGCCUGAGAAGAGGCAAGAUUCCCCUUCAAGGACACACUGGGAACUUACGGACCUCUUUCUCCAUGGUGCAGAGCGCAGAGGUGAACAAACAGACGCAUAAUAGCUCUUGAGCUUGCCAUUGGGAAGUGAAAAUCAACUGCUUGAAUAAAUGUAAGGACUCAGGUAAGAUAC
Molecule: long non-coding RNA, 309 nt
Filed under: Homo sapiens (human)
Lineage: Eukaryota; Metazoa; Chordata; Mammalia; Primates; Hominidae
Description: non-protein coding LINC00507:6
Source: RNAcentral